AGCUGCAGAAGAAGCACCGGCUAACUCCGUGCCAGCAGCCGCGGUAAUACGGAGGGUGCGAGCGUUAAUCGGAAUUACUGGGCGUAAAGCGCAUGCAGGUGGUUUGUUUAAGUCAGAUGUGAAAGACCCGGGGCGUCAACCUCGGAAUAGCAUUUGAAACUAGGCAGACUAGAGUACUGUAGAGGGGGGUAGGAAGUUUCAGGUGUAGCGGUGAAAUAGCGUAGAGAUCUGAAGGAAUACCGGUGGCGAAGGCGGCCCCCUCGGACAGAUACUGACACUCAGAUGCGAAAGCGUGGGGAGCAAACAGGAUUAGAUACCCUGGUAG
This 325-nucleotide ribosomal RNA is filed under the name uncultured bacterium. RNAcentral's name for it is "bacterial SSU rRNA". It matches the Rfam family "Bacterial small subunit ribosomal RNA", at positions 477 to 793 of the family's 1533-position model. The record is from RNAcentral.